CGCGUAGGUGGUCUCGAAAGUCCUGUGUGAAAUCCCUUGGCUCAACUGAGGAACUGCACAGGAAACUCCGAGGCUUGAGUUCGGGAGAGGGACGUGGAAUUCCGGGUGUAGCGGUGAAAUGCGCAGAUAUCCGGAGGAACACCGGAGGCGAAGGCGGCGUCCUGGACCGACACUGACACUGAGGCGCGAAAGCUAGGGUAGCAAACG
RNAcentral lists this ribosomal RNA (207 nucleotides) under uncultured bacterium. RNAcentral's name for it is "partial 16S ribosomal RNA". It matches the Rfam family "Bacterial small subunit ribosomal RNA", at positions 568 to 774 of the family's 1533-position model. The record is from RNAcentral.